CCUACGGGGCGCAGCAGUGGGGAAUAUUGCACAAUGGGGGAAACCCUGAUGCAGCGACGCCGCGUGAGCGAAGAAGUACUUCGGUAUGUAAAGCUCUAUCAGCAGGGAAGAAAAAUGACGGUACCUGAGUAAGAAGCACCGGCUAAAUACGUGCCAGCAGCCGCGGUAAUACGUAGGGAGCAAGCGUUGUCCGGAAUUACUGGGCGUAAAGGGCGCGUAGGUGGGUGCUUAAGUCAGGUGUGAAAACUCUGGGCUCAACCUGGAGACUGCACUUGAAACUGGGUAUCUUGAGGGCAGGAGAGGAA
RNAcentral lists this ribosomal RNA (305 nucleotides) under uncultured bacterium. RNAcentral describes it as "bacterial SSU rRNA". It matches the Rfam family "Bacterial small subunit ribosomal RNA", at positions 338 to 659 of the family's 1533-position model. The record is from RNAcentral.